GGCGUGCUUACACAUGCACGUCGAGCGGAAAGGCCCUUCGGGGUACUCGAGCGGCGAACGGGUGAGUAACACGUGAGUAACCUGCCCUUGACUUCGGGAUAAGCCUGGGAAACCGGGUCUAAUACCGGAUAUGACUCUGCGUGGCAUCGCGUGGGGUGGAAAGUUUUUUCGGUCGAGGAUGGGCUCGCGGCCUAUCAGCUUGUUGGUGGGGUAGUGGCCUACCAAGGCGACGACGGGUAGCCGGCCUGAGAGGGCGACCGGCCACACUGGGACUGAGACACGGCCCAGACUCCUACGGGAGGCAGCAGUGGGGAAUAUUGCGCAAUGGGCGGAAGCCUGACGCAGCGACGCCGCGUGGGGGAUGACGGCCUUCGGGUUGUAAACCUCUUUCAGCAGGGACGAAGUUGACGUGUACCUGCAGAAGAAGCGCCGGCUAACUACGUGCCAGCAGCCGCGGUAAUACGUAGGGCGCAAGCGUUGUCCGGAAUUAUUGGGCGUAAAGAGCUCGUAGGUGGCUUGUCGCGUCUGCCGUGAAAGCCCAUGGCCUUAACUGUGGGUCUGCGGUGGAUACGGGCUGGCUAGAGGUAGGUAGGGGCAAGCGGAAUUCCUGGUGUAGCGGUGAAAUGCGCAGAUAUCAGGAGGAACACCGGUGGCUAAGCGGCUUGCUGGGCCUUACCUGACGCUGAGGAGCGAAAGCGUGGGGAGCGAACAGGAUUAGAUACCCUGGUAGUCCACGCUGUAAACGUUGGGCGCUAUGUGUGGGGUCCUUCCACGGGCUCCGUGCCGUACUAACGCAUUAAGCGCCCCGCCUGGGGAGUACGGCCGCAAGGCUAAAACUCAAAGGAAUUGACGGGGGCCCGCACAAUCGGCGGAGCAUGUUGCUUAAUUCGACGCAACGCGAAGAACCUUACCAAGGCUUGACAUCGCCGGAAAACUCGCAGAGAUGCGGGGUCCUUUUUGGGCCGGUGACAGGUGGUGCAUGGCUGUCGUCAGCUCGUGUCGUGAGAUGUUGGGUUAAGUCCCGCAACGAGCGCAACCCUCGUUCCAUGUUGCCAGCACGUAAUGGUGGGGACUCAUGGGAGACCGCCGGGGUCAACUCGGAGGAAGGUGGGGAUGACGUCAAGUCAUCAUGCCCCUUAUGUCUUGGGCUGCAAACAUGCUACAAUGGCCGGUACAGAGGGCUGCGAUACCGUGAGGUGGAGCGAAUCCCUUAAAGCCGGUCUCAGUUCGGAUUGGGGUCUGCAACUCGACCCCAUGAAGUCGGAGUCGCUAGUAAUCGCAGAUCAGCA
This 1289-nucleotide ribosomal RNA is filed under the name Actinomadura sp. RNAcentral's name for it is "bacterial SSU rRNA". It matches the Rfam family "Bacterial small subunit ribosomal RNA", at positions 41 to 1354 of the family's 1533-position model. The record is from RNAcentral. Lineage: Bacteria; Bacillati; Actinomycetota; Actinomycetes; Streptosporangiales; Thermomonosporaceae.